RNAcentral lists this long non-coding RNA (5372 nucleotides) under Taeniopygia guttata (zebra finch). RNAcentral describes it as "lncRNA (ENSTGUG00000024599.1)". Lineage: Eukaryota; Metazoa; Chordata; Aves; Passeriformes; Estrildidae. The record is from RNAcentral.
UUUUUCUUUUCUUUUUGUUUGUUUGCUUAUGGAACCACUUCCUCUUGCACUGAAAUUUGAUUCAGACUGAAAGAAUCAGAACUUGUGGCUCUCCAGUGGUUUUCAGAAAGUCCAGGAGCAGACACAGAUCAUUUUUGCAUGGGUGAUUUCUGUCAGAUAUUUUUCAUCCUCACCUUAUUGGUGACUCUUAGGUUUUUUAUUCAGCUUUUCUGCCAUGCCCCACUGCUUUUCAGCAAUUUUCAUGCAGGGGAAGAGAUGGCUUUUCUUACAGAGCUAAUCUUGCAUCUGCUUUUUAUUGCUGUCUAUUUGAAGAUUGACUUCAUGUUCCAAUGGUCAAGAAGAGGGGAAGUUAUUUCUGCCCUUUAUAGCCAAGAAGGAUGGGAAGGUUGGGUGAAUGGAUUUAGUCUGGUACUGGGUUUUGUACAUCAGGAUGAGCUGUAAUUGAAUUUGGUGUCUAUUUGGUUUAUAUUCAGUAAUGAUAAUAAUACCAAAAUAUUAAGUUCAAUGAUCAAGCUACUGUUAUAUUUUGAGGAAUCUGGUAAAGCCCUCUCUGCCCCAGCUGGAAGUUUUCUUGUUGAUCUUAAGACUGCUCAAAUGAGAUUUUUUUCAUGUUGCUUGUCUACCUCUGAGCUAAUUUUCUUGCUUGCUUUUAUUUUGAAAGCUUCUGCUAAAACAAACCAGAGGGGGGGGGGGGGGAAAUAUUUGGCUGUCUCUGAAACAAAGUUGGUGGAAAAUGUUUUGCUCUGCCUGUCAGGAGUUAUUACACUCAUUUUGCUACAAAGCCUUCCUACUUAUUGAGCAGAGCCAGAAAAUUUGGCAGGGAGGCUGUUCUGACGUCAUGGUGCUUUCUGCCAUCCUUGAAGAAAUUUUCUCAAUGCUUUUUUUUUUUUUUUUUUUACCAUGUAUUUCAUUAGAGACUUGUCAGGGUUUUACUAUGGAAGUGCCUGUGGAUUCCUUAGCUCUGGGGCAGACCAGAUGUUCCUGUAUCAGUGGCAGGGACUGUUCUGGCUGGCCAAGACCUGCUGCUGCUGGCAGGGAGGGAUGGGAUAAAGGGUGGCAGGCUGAAAGUUGUGUCUCCAGGGCUCUCCGUGCCUGCAGGCAGGACACUGGGAAGUGGGAGGGCACAGAAGUCAGGGAAUGGGAUGAAGGGAGAGGCAGCCUGAGGUGAGAGAAGGAACAGUGCUGCCAGCUGUGCCCUUACAAGUGGGGCCCUGAGCCUUUUUUAGCCAGAUGACCUCUGGAAGUCUCAUCACUUCCAUUCCGGGGGUGAACAGAAAUCCCUGUGAAGGACAAUUUGAAAGGCCAAAUCCUUUCCCUCCUCUUUGUGGCUGGGACUGGACAGGCAGAGGGGGCAGGAUGGAUGCGUGACACAACAGAGAGUUCCCUUCACAUCAAAGCAGUACAAACCUCACUAAAAUCUUUCUUUAUUGUUCCUUCUUAAUAAAAGAGAGGGUGGCAUAAAAUAAGGCAAGUUUUGUGAUGGUACAGGUAACAUCCAACAGAGUGUUAGAACUUGUAAGGACUAACAAAUUUAAAUGUAACAACUUUCCACAGCUGAAGUGUUUUUAGCUACUCUUGGUUGGUUUUCUCUUGGGUUUUGUCUUUCUGUUUUGGUUUUGUUUAUCUUUUUAAUAAAGUUUAAACCGGCUGCAAGUGCAUGUGACUGUAGAGAUGCCUUCAGUGGGUCAUCCCAAGAUCUCAGGGAUGGUUGUUAAGGGAUGCUGUAAGUGGCCAGCUCCUAAACUCUCCCCAGGUUUUCCAUAGUUUCACAGGCCCUCCUCAGCUGUCAUGGCUCCUCCUGUUCCUUGUUGCCCUCAUCCAUUGAAAUUAUUGACUGAAAAUUUUUUGUGUUUGUCAUGUCUCGGUCAUCCCUUUGUGCUUUUCCUUCUAUUUUCCCCUUUAUUAUCACCUUUCAUAGAAUCAUGAAUUCACUGAAUGGUUUGGAUUGGAAGGGGCCUUCAAGAUCAUUUUGUUCCAACUCCCUGCCAUGGGCAGGGACACCUUCCACUAAUCCAGGUUGCUCAGAGCCCCAUCCAAUCUGGCCUUGGACACUGCCAGGGAUGGGGCAGCCACAGCUGCCCUGGGAAACCUGUGCCUCCCUUACAGGAAAUAAUUUCUGAUUUCUUCCUGAUAUUCCAUCUAAACCCACACUCUGUCAGUGUGAAGCCAUUCCCCCUUGUCCUGUCCCUCCAGGCCCUUGUCAAGAGUCUCUCUUUGCAUUGAAAGGGUCCUUGACUGGGUUGCCUUAAAGAAGCAGAAGUUUUUUCCUUCCACAUAGCCUUACAGAGCAUACAAGGCACUGAUAAUUUCCUGGGCCACUCAGAAAACAUUGCACCACCAGCUAAAACCAUCAGAGGUGCCACUGGCAGUAUGUACAAGCUGCUCUCAGCCAGCACGCCUUGCAAGGGCAUUCUGGACUUGGGCUAAAAUAAUUUUCCUCACUACAUUUGGAAAGCAGUGGAUGGGCACCCAGAUAUGGAGGGCCCAAAUGCCACAGCAGAAUUCUCAAGAAUCUCUUGUCAUUUUGGAAAUAAUGCCUUUCUCUUGCAUGGAAGCAGGGCUUCAUUGAAGUACUGGGGUUUAGGUGCGAGCCAAAGUUAAAUGAAAGGAUUGGAGCAGAAGGAACUGGGAAAUGAGGAGGGAUAGAACAGCAAACUGAAAAGGCUGGGGGAAAACAGGACAUGGGAAGGAGGAUGGGACAUGGACAGGAUGGAAGAAUAAACACUUGGAAUCACCUCAGGACCUCUAGGAUGGAAAUAAAUUAAAGAAUGGAAAUUGAAUAUUGGAGUGCAAGAGCAAAAGGGGUUGAACAGACCCACAAGAGGACAAAAUUCAGCUGAAGCACAAAUCUGAUGCUGCAAAACUUGACACAGGGCUUGUACACCUCAGUCAUUUUAAGCUGCCUAGCAAAGAGCUGUGAAACCCUCCAUCUUUCCCUGGGGAGGGGUCUGCAUGCUGCUGUCACUGCCUGUCACACUCCUUCAUUUGCUCACACACUACAGGGUUGUGUUGUGGACCUAAAAACCAUGACAGGAUGUUUUCCCUCCUGUGAUAAAGGGGAGCCUGAAGUCCCUGAAACACAUCCACAGCAUCUCUCUGGGAAAGGGCAUCUGAAAAAAAACCCCUAUGUAUUUACAUGGGAACUACUUAAGGGAUUUAACAAUAAAGGUUUAGAAAUUACUUAUCUGUAGAUAGAAUUUUGGGGGGAAUCCCAAGACAAACACUGCAUUUAAGGCAUUCUAGGUUAACAGAAGUACUUGAAAGCUAGGAAAUAUUUGUAUGAAAGUUUCUGGUUGAAGCUGUUUUGUCUUCCACUCCUCCAUUUAUCCCACUAUUGUCACAAAAUCUUCAGUUAUACCAUUAUAUAAUUUUUGCCAGUACAAGAACUUGUCCUCAUUCAACACACAGAAAGGACAGCAUUCCAGGAAUAGUCUGGGUUGAUCCAGGGAAUGAGACUGUCACCUUCACUUUGUGGAAGUGCAGUUUUUCCUCCAUCAGUCAGCAGUGGCACAAGCACCCUUUUCAAAGGGCAGCACAGAGACUGCUCGAGGCCUGGCUGCAUGGGGAUCUGAGCAACCUGGGCUAUGGGAAGAUGUCCCCCCUGCCCAUGGCAGGGCUUUGGAAUAGGAUUUGGAAGGGCCUUUAAGAUCUCUUCCAACCCUGGCCAUUCCAUGAUUCUAGCACUGGGAUGGAGGGUUUCCCAUCACAGAAUAUUCAAGGUUACUUCUGUUUUGAGAAAACUGGGAUUUUUUUUAUCCCUGUUCAUUUGUGGUGAUGCAUGAAAUCAUGAUGGAUACGUGGGUAUUGUUAGAUGCCCAGCCCUCCUCACCUUGUCUGGUUCUUUGAGAUCUGCAGUUACACAAACUGAGGAUUGUGUAUUUUCUUCCCUCUUGGGGUGUAAAACAAAUAGGAGAGUCAAGGUUUCAUUGCCCAUAUGCACUGAAAUCACUGCUCUUUCCUACCCUGAGUGAUUGUGGCAUUCUGUGAAAUGCAACGUUUCAAACACAGGCCUUCACUUGGACUAGAAUAAAGAGGCUGAAGGCACUCAGGGAUCUGACCAUGAACAUUUGAUGCUGCAGUAGUUGAUUCUCUGAUGCUUGGAAGAUGUUAAUAAACAUCUUUCAGGCUUCUCCUGCUUUCUGGUGAGAGUACAAACCAGGAGAACUCCUGUUUCCAAAUGGUAUGCCUAACAGCUCCAGGGCUCAAGCUAAUUCUGCUUCCUCCCCUGUUCAGCACUCUCAUUUAUAGAUUUAUGGCUCUGAGUAAGAAGGGAAGUAUGAAGUUGGCUGUAAUUGGUAGUGUGCAUAAAUGUAAAUUACCAUUUCAAAUGGGGAUGCUCUGCCAGCUAUUGCAUUUUUUUUUUCAUUUUCCCUGUCUAUUGCUCUUUUUAGACUGUGGGGAUUUGUUUGAUGUGUGGAAUAUUUUGGCUCCUGGGAAAUGAUUCCUACCCCAGGGCCUCCAGCCUGUGGGAGGUUCUGUUGUGCCUCCCAGGCUAUGCAUUAAGGUGCUGAUGGAUGAUUUUACAGAUGCAUUGAUCACCAAAAUAUACUGCAGGUAUGGAAGGUGUUUUUCUUGUUCCUCCAUUUGAUGGGGGUGAGUGUUACAAGAUGUCACAUCAGCAAAGCAUGUCAAGCUGUUCUGCUGAAGGCCCAGUGCUCAGUCAGCAUCCCCAGCACAUACUGGGAAGCCUUCAGCCCCAAAAAGAGUUCUGGAAAAGGGAUAUGAAAAGUAUUUUGCUACUGGGCUGCAAGCAAGUCAAGAAAUUGUAGUAAGGUUAUAGGGAUGAGAAGCUCCAUAACUGGGAAAAGUACCUGAAUGUGGGAAGCAGAAGAUAGGGGUAGCACAGGAGCUGUGGAGGAGGGAAUUGGAAAGUUCAGGAGACGAUGAGGUGACUGGGAAAUGCAGGAAGACAAGGAAGGGGCUAAGAAGUUUUGAAUGCCCUAGCUGCAAACCUGGAUUUCCACUUGGGAUAUCUCAGAUUUGGAGUGAGGGUCUCUAGCUUUGGCUUUGCUGAGAAAAUGCUACACAGACACAAUUUUUUGGCAGCUGCAGUGCUGAUCACAUCAAAUCUUGCAAAAGGGAGCUAAAGGAAACCCAAAGGGUGGCGAUGCUACCCAAAAUGCUGAGCCAGUUUUGGGGUGCUGGAGCUCCACGCUGACUCUGCUCUGCUGGCUGAAGCUUGCUCCUUUAAACCCUUCAGCUCCAUCAUGUAGACAUGCCCUGCGUGUCCUCUUAGAAACCUCGGGAGCUUUUCCAUCCCUUCCGAAAGCUGUUUUGAAAGGAUUUCUCGAUAGUUAACCCUGCAAAUGAAUAAAUCGUAAUUAUGAUUCAAAUAAUCCCGGGAAUGAAUAAUUCAUUGUAAUAAUUGAAAA